Molecule: ribosomal RNA, 253 nt
Filed under: uncultured bacterium
Lineage: Bacteria
Description: partial 16S ribosomal RNA
Rfam family: Bacterial small subunit ribosomal RNA
Source: RNAcentral
UACGUAGGGACCGAGCGUUGUCCGGAAUCAUUGGGCGUAAAGAGCGUGUAGGCGGCCACUUAAGUCCUGCGUGAAAUCUUGCGGCUCAACCGCAAGCGGUCGUGGGAAACUGGGUGGCUAGAGUGCGGGAGAGGAGAGUGGAAUUCCUGGUGUAGCGGUGGAAUGCGUAGAGAUCCGGAAGAACACCGGUGGCGAAGGCGGUCUGCUGGGCCAGUACUGACGCUGAGGCGCGACAGCGUGGGGAGCAAACAGG